This 67-nucleotide transfer RNA is filed under the name Myrmecocephalus concinnus. Its description in RNAcentral is "tRNA-Glu". Lineage: Eukaryota; Metazoa; Arthropoda; Insecta; Coleoptera; Staphylinidae. The record is from RNAcentral.
AUUUAUAUAGUUUAAAUAAAACUUUAUAUUUUCAAUAUAAUAUUAAGAGCACUUCUCUUUAUAAAUA